Molecule: long non-coding RNA, 6294 nt
Organism: Triticum dicoccoides
Lineage: Eukaryota; Viridiplantae; Streptophyta; Magnoliopsida; Poales; Poaceae
Exons: 5
Source: RefSeq, a predicted model, not a curated record
GCCACGUUGACCCUGCCUCUGCAUCCAGCGGCGCCGGGUUCUUCCCGUUGCUGCACCACCUCGCGGCCGAGGAGACCAGGCGCUGGUGCGACCCCACUCCCGCUGCUGUUUUGUCUCGUCGGAUAAGCCACAUCUGGUUAGUUCCAUGCUGCUUUGCUCGACGGCAAUUAUCGUUCUGAUUUGCUCUCUCGUGGGAAGUAGCAUGUGGCUCUCUUAAUUUAUCAGAAGUCUGACACGAAGGAUGAGCGUGUGAGGAUUAAGGAUGCAGGAGGCAAGGUCAUCCGAUGUAAUGGUUACCGAGUGUCUGAAAUACUUGUCAAAUGUGGCUCGGUGAUAGAAUUAAGCAUGAAGGAGGAAGAUACCAGCACCAGCCCCAGCAAUAAAGACUGUGGCAAGGGCGACGGCAGUGUGUCCCGGCGAGCGUGAGCAAUGGCAGCAUCAUCUCCGACUCCGAGUACCUGACCAAGACGCUGCCUAGGUCACACGUCGAGGACUUCCUCCUGGACAAUGCCGCCUCCUUGGCUGUUGUUGUCGUCUCCUCAAAUAAGUUGUAUCAGAAGAAUUUUGGAUGCAGACCUAUGUGGUUUCUUCAUAGUACUAGGGAGCCGACAAUAAAAAAACAUGAGAAUUCAUCACCUAUCUUAUCCACCGCAACUGAACAAGUAAAACAUGUGCAUACUUCGCCGCUUCGCCGACGACCCCGCGGCCGAGCAGGAGGAGUGCUUCCAUGGCUUCAAAUAUAUGCGAGUAGAUUCAGGCUGCAGCACAUGCUUCCAUCACCUCCCUGUGUCGCUGGAGUCAUGGGCUCCGUCGUGUGGCGCACUGCCAAGGAUGUCAACCAUGUUGCCUGCAGCCUGCAGGGUUCAGUGCCGUCAUCUUUGUCUGCAUCGGGUCACGCUCCCAUUACCUCAUGCCCCCCUCUCAUUCAUGCUCGUCUUCUUCAUUUUGGUUGUUGAUCCGGAUAUUAGAUGCCCUCAUAGGAAGUACAUUGUCAGUGUUAAUAGAUGAUUUUUUUUUCCCAGCAGAUGGAGUCUCCAUAGUUAUAUGGCUGCUGAGAUGAGUUGCUCAAAUGGUUAAAAUUAUGUUUGUGCUCCAGGUCUAGAGGAGGUAGAGGAGCUCAGUUUGAUCCUAAGGAUGGUGUUGCUUUUUGUAAAAUUAAAUUACUUGUUCGUAUCAUAAUUUCAAACUGGGAUUUUUUCUUUUCUCAACUAUUCGCUAUUUGUUGUACCUUCGAUGUUUUAAGUGGCCAAUUUGAGCUUGUCCAAUCACAGUUUCCACAAGCAUUGUAUGGCCUUGCUGGAAAUCAGAUGUCUUAACCCUUUUAAAGUUCUGAUAGAAAAAUCCUUACAUUCUUUGGCUUACAACCAAAAGGAUAUUCUACUUCAGGUUUUGUCUUACAAACAUAGGAGAUUCUACUUCAUGUUUUGUUUUACAAGCAAAUAUAAUUCUGAAUGUCAUUUAUGUUGAUGGAUAGUAAGUUAUAAUCAUAUGGUAGCCUCAAGAAAGUUCAGGACAAGAAGCAUGCUACUGCUUUUGCGAAAUAUUAUGUUCCACUGAUGUAACGAGGUAUGCUCGUGAUCUACAGUACUAAUGCACCUUACCCAGCAGCUUCUUGUCAAUAGUUACAGUGCUUCGUUAAAAUAAUUAGUAUGCUCAUUGUUAAUUAUAGGCUAGAUGUCUUGCACACACCGCAAAUUAAGGUUUUGGAACUCCAUUUGCCAAUAGUAUCAGUGAAUCAAACACUCCUAUCUAUCUGAAUUCUAACAGUAAGUUGUGAUUGCAUAUGACACCUUAUUCUUCAGUGAUCAUUCUCUACGGUUUAUUAUUAGUUCUGGUUCAGUUUAUAGUAUAAGUCAUUUAUUAUUCAGUUUUUUUCUCUUCAGACUUUAGAUUCUUCAGUUAUCUUAUUCUUACUCCCUUUCGUUCAUUAGUGUUCAUUUUUUAUUCAGUCCUUAGACUCAUUAUCCUAGAUCAGUUUGUUGGUGCAGAGCUGGCAGUAUCGAGAGGCUUUCUUCUGACAUAUCCUCUUGUAAGUACGGGAUACGUGUGCAGACUGCGUAAGCAUCAAGCGGCGGGACAUGGAUUCAGUUUUUUUGGUGGUUGUAGCUGAAAGUUGUGUGGUUGUUGCUCCACCGAUAUUAUAAUGGAGCUCCUAAUUGUGAUACAUUAAUUUGUAUUCAAUCACACAUAAUAUGUCCAAGAUUUUAGCUCCAUGAUCACUCAUCUGUGGUUGUCUGCUUUUUAGCAAAUGUCAACAUAUUCACUCUCAACUCAGUUUUUCUGGUAGAUGUGCUAGGAUCAAAUGGGUUGUCAUUUCUAAGCUGCAGGGUCUUUAAGCUUUAUAGCUCAUGGAGGUGAAUAUGGAAAUGAUCAUAGCGUCAAUUUAUAUUUUUCUCCUGGAAAUGGGAUUAUCCCCACAACAGUACUUCAUGAACUUUACACUCUUCAUGGUUGCCAGGUGCCAGCAAUAAUUAGGAAAUUAUUAGACCAAUCCUUUUUUAUGGAACUCUAUUCUAGAAUAGGUACUCUUCAAAUUGUGAUGUUACUUGAGUGUUGCGGUUAGACAUACAUUUGGGUUGUUUUAAAAAAAUGAGCAUAUGUUUGUCUUAAUGUUAAAUGCAGCUUCCAAAAUAGCUCAUGGUGAUUUCUUAUGUUCUUUACUGUCUUAGCACUAUAUUAGGACAGUCAAUUUUUCCGGGUCGCUGCUACUUUUAGUGUGGAUAAAGAUAUAUCAAGUUGUAGGUAGAUUGUGUAUCAUGCAUUUGCUUAUAUCAAAAUUACCAUUCACUAUUUUGGAAUCCCCGUUCCACGAAACGUCUUAGGUAUCUCUUGCCAUUGCUUAAUAGUUGUCCUUUGCAGGUCAUGAUUAUAUUUUGUAGUGAGAUUGGCAAAAGAAUAUAUUAUACUCCAGUUCACAAUAUUUUUAUUUGAGGAAAAGCCCCUUGGAGGUGAUCUCUUUCUUAUGAACAUCAGUGUACGUUUGAGAUGUUAUGUCAAAACAUUUGAUUGCUGAAAACAGGAUGGAACGGGCUAGAAAACAUUUAUUUUGAAAUCAGACUUACAAUGCUAUAUAUCUGAUGCCAAGGAGCAGAAACUUGCAGCGGCAUCUCCGAUACCCUCUGGACGAGCUGCAAUUAGAUCGUAGCUGACGACGCGGCGAUGACCACCGAGGUAUGCCCUUCUCUCCUUGCCCUUCAUGCCAAUAUUCAGUCUUUUACAGGGUCAUCCCCGCGUUGCUUGCAAUCAAUCUGCUAGCGACAGUAGAAAUUAACAAUGCCAUGUGUGUGUUUCUACAUGGUGACAUAUAAGUGCAGGACCGGAGUGCACGCUCACCCGCAGAACCUUCAGGGUGCUCCAUGCUCGACAUCUUCUCAGCGUAGCUGCUUGAUCAAUAGUUUUGAUUGAUCUAUUUGAUAAUUUAAAUCAGUAGUUUUGAUUGAUCUAUUUGAUAAUUUAAGUUAUCCGAUAGUGUCACUGGUUCACUCAUGCUCUUUUCUUAUGUUGUUAUUUAAUCAUUAUGGGCUUGGAUAUUCUCUAUAGCAUCUCAAUGAUUCACUGCAAUUGGCCAAGUUCUUCUCGAUAUUUGAUACUGUAUGAGAGUAGCAGUUGGACUAAAAAAACUACAACAAUAUGCAAGUAUAGCAACCACUUGAUGCUGAACCUUAAUGUUUUCGCUUUAUCUUCAUCUACAUUAUUAACUAAUCUCUCAUGUUAUUUUAACAAGUUCUAAAUUUUUAGCUACACGAUUCACAGUAGUUUCGGAAGCACAAAUUGAUGUCUAUAACUUAUUUAGGGUAACCUUUUGCUCCAUCUGGUAGAUAUGUAACAAGGCAAUAUAGAGGGAUAUAGAGAGCUAUUUUUAAAUACUCUCAAUAUUUCCAUUCAUGACCGAACAUGCCAGAUAAUUAGAUUCUGUCUCCUUUUUUCACUACACAACCGUUCUAAUUCAGAUAAUGCAAUAAUGCAUGCUGAACUCAUUCAUUUCAGCUGAGUACAUGUUGUCUAUGUCUCUUAUACAUAUUGUAGGCCAAGAUGAAUUCCUCAAGUGUUAGAUUCUUUAACGUGCCAGUGCAUAGAGCUUUUUUAGCAUUUUAGCCUAUCAUAUAUUGUUUCUUAAAAUAAACAGCGGAAAUGGCCAACUUUAGAGGGCAGGCCUGGCGCAGUGGUGAAGUCCUCCCCACUUGUGCCAAGAGGUCCUGGGUUCGAACCAGCCUCUCUGCAUUGCACUUUGCAGGGGUAAGACUAGGUUCCUAUAAUCCCUCCCCAGACCCCACCUUGUGUGGGAGCUUCUAUGCACUGGGUCUGUCCUUUAAAUGGCCAACUUUAAUCAGAUAUGUCUGCUAAAAUCCACAUUUGGAUAAUCUUUUCUCUUUUCUUAGUUUGGUCGCACAUGGAUCAACUUAGUGUGUUUACCUUUUUCACUAUAUGCAUUUAUACUUGGGGAAAAAAUCCCUCGCCACUAGCUCUGAAACGUCAACAAUGUCAGCGUCUAAUAAAGAGAACUCGUGGAUAUGAUUGAUCCAGAAAUAAGUGGUUCUCAAUAGGAAAUGGUACUUUUAUAUUCUUGAUGAUUAUUAUUUUUGUGUAAGACAAAUUACAAUCGAUAAUUCGGCAUAGUAUGAUCUGGAUAGCUUUAAACAUAGAAGCAGGCAUCCUAUUCUAUUUAUUUCCAUCAUUGUUGCCUAUACCAUAUUUAAAUUUCUGUCUUUAUUGUCCUUGUAUGAUGAUAGCCCAUUGGGAAAUAAAAUUAAAUGGGUUAAAUACUUUGUUCGUUAUUUCAAGUACCAAAUUUACAUUCAUCGUUUAGUGGUUCGUCGAAAUUCUUCUACCUAUGACUUUGAAAUUGGCCACUAGAAAACCAACAUGCCACCCUCUUCACAACCUUAGUUAGUGAUUCGUUCAAUUUAGUGGGUGUAAGUAUGGGAACACUGAUCUUUAUAUGGUAACCUUUCAUGCUCAUUUCAUUUCUCAUUUUGUUGAUCAUUAAUGUUACUUCGUUGACAAAUGAUAUUUACAGUACUUCUGGAUGACAGAGUUUGAGUUCUAUGUGAAGUUCCAAAAGGAAUACCUGCAAGACUCCUUCAACUUAGUAAGAUUGCAUAUGUCCUUUGUGCUGCACAGCUCCAAUGCUUCACUCCUCUACUCAUAGUGGGAAAAAAGUCUUAGGUACUCUGAAUUUUAUCUUUUCUUCCCCUCACGCUUUGUUAGGUAGGAUCAAUAGUUUAUCUUAUCGGUUGGAAUUUUGAGAGGCCGAUUGAGUAUUGAGUGAUGGGAAUACUGAAUUUACUUGGUUUCUAUCCUAUUCUCAUAUCUGUAACUAGCUCUGCAUGUCGUUAAGAAGGGACGACCUAAGGAGUGGAGAGAUCUGAGGCAACCAAAAUCCUGCAUCUGCAUGCUUAUAGGCGUUUGACAAUCCUACACCAGGGUCACAUAUAUAUGGACAUUCAGUUGACAAUCCUACACCAGGUUCACGUAUAUAUGAACCUGAAUCUGCAUGCUGAAAACUGGAUGUGGCAGUAAUCCACUCUUCAGGCAGAAGAAAAUAAUCUGAGCUAUACUCAACAUAGUAGGAUGUCUGAUGUAUUACUAUGGAAAUAUAAUUAUACAAUACAUAGCUGAAUGUUAAGCUUGGCUCUCAUCAUAGAUAUACUGAUACAUAGCAGAAUGUUAUUUGAAUUUCAGUUAUACAAGAUUAAUGAAAAUGUUAAGCUUGCACAGAUGGUGCUGACUACGGAGGAGCUUGCCUAGGAGUUAGCGGAGCCGGAGGACAAAUAUCAGCACACCAUGGUUGUGUUCUUACAUGGUGCUGGCCGUGGCCAUGGUGAUGCUGAAGGCCAUGACCGUGGCGUUGGCCAUGGGUGUGGUCGUGCCGGUGGCUGAGGCGUUGAAGGUGCCCGUAGACAUCCCAAGGGUGGCCGGUCGCAGUGGGGAUGGCCGUGGACCUGGCAACAGUUAGUCCUCUCCCUGGACGUGCCUAUAGUUAUAAUUAGUUGUAGGUGUUCCACGAAUGUAGGUUCUUCUUUCUUUUAUCGGUAUAAAAUCAAAACUUGUGGAAUUGUUCUUGGUGUGGGUUUGAUUUUGUCGCGGAGGCUCCAUACGGGCUACCAAGAGUCACCAUGGGCCGGGCGAUAGAGUUUCGGAUGGAGUAUCCAUGUAGUCAGUCUUGUGUGUAUGUGUGCCUCAACGGGUGCCAGUGUGGAGCACCUAUCUGCCCUAACUCGAGGCCCUUACCGAGGAGUUGCGUCGGUGCUCAAAACAGCUAUUGGUUGUGCUUUUUCUCUGCACGACUAAAUU